This is a small nuclear RNA of Eptesicus fuscus (big brown bat), 135 nucleotides long. RefSeq annotates it as U4 spliceosomal RNA. Lineage: Eukaryota; Metazoa; Chordata; Mammalia; Chiroptera; Vespertilionidae. The record is from RefSeq and is a predicted model, not a curated record. The transcript has a single exon.
AGCUUUGCUAGUGGCAGUAUCGCAGCCAAUGAGGUUUAUCCGAGGCACGAUUAUUGCUAAUUAAAAAAACAAACAAAAAAACUACCGUCUCACAAUCUUUUUUUAAUAUGUAUUUUUAUUAAUUUCACAGAGGAA